RNAcentral lists this ribosomal RNA (444 nucleotides) under Pteraeolidia ianthina. RNAcentral describes it as "partial 16S ribosomal RNA". It matches the Rfam family "Archaeal large subunit ribosomal RNA", at positions 1906 to 2673 of the family's 2987-position model. Lineage: Eukaryota; Metazoa; Mollusca; Gastropoda; Nudibranchia; Facelinidae. The record is from RNAcentral.
CAUAGCCAGUAGAUUUUAUUGCAGGUUAAACCUGCCCAAUGUUAAUAUAAAUGGCCGCGGUACUCUGACCGUGCUAAGGUAGCGUAAUCAUUUGGCUUUUAAAUGGAGUCAGGUAUGAAUGGGAAAACCCGGUGAAGCUGUCUCUAUACUAUUUCUUUUAAUUUACUGUUCAAGUGAAAAAGCUUGAAUAAUUUAAAGGGACGAGAAGACCCUUAGAAUUUUUAUUAAACCUUUAUUUUCGGUGAAAAUUUUUGCUGGGGCGGCAAAGAAAUAAAUAUAAACUUUCUUCUAUAACAAGCCGAAUAUAUUAAGCAUGAAUAAAUUACCUAAGGGAUAACAGCAUAAUUCUAUUAAUGAGUUUGUGACCUCGAUGUUGGACUAGGAAACUAGCAGGCUAGCCGUUUGUUGAGUGGGUUCUGUUCGAACUUUUAAUUCCUACGUGAU